This 1523-nucleotide long non-coding RNA is filed under the name Ficedula albicollis (Collared flycatcher). RNAcentral's name for it is "lncRNA (ENSFALG00000027914.1)". The record is from RNAcentral. Lineage: Eukaryota; Metazoa; Chordata; Aves; Passeriformes; Muscicapidae.
GAGGUGUCUCCCAGCUGCUCUAUCCCCCAAUGUCCCCACGUCCCAGCAGCUCGCUCAGGACCCAGAUUUAGGGAAUUUGCUCCCAAAAAACCUCUCAAACGUUCCCAGCUGCCAAGCCGUGGGUGCCAAUGCCAAGCAUGGAUGCUGGCAGCUCAUCCACCUCCAGGCCCUUUUUUUUGACAGAUGUAUUUUCAAAUUUCCCUUCUGCAGCACUGGGACAGCUGAAGGAAAAUGGGAAUGCUGGAGGCUCCAGUGGGAGUCAGGCACGUGGGCUGGCACUGCCCCUGGCACAGGGGUCCUUUGCACACUCCCUGCUCACACUCAUCCUGUGCUCACACCCACCCCUUCACCCUCGCUCUUUGCACACUCACCUCCUGCUCGCCUCACACUGCACGUGCUCCCUUUCCACACUCGCUCUCAUUCCACGCCUCUUCACCUUGCACGCUCCUUCCUUGCUCCCUGCCCACUCCCUCCCUUUGCACACCUGCUGCCCGUGCACGCUGCACACAGCUCCCCUCCCACGCUGCUCCUUUCGGAAGUUGCUCCCCUGGAGCGCUGAUUCCCUUUGCACACUUGUCCCUCUGCACACUCAUUUCCACGGGUGUGUCCCAAUGUGCCCUUGCACACUCAGCCCCUCUGCACUCGCUCUCCCUCUGUGCUCACUCCCCUUGCACACUGGUUCCCCUUCCACUCUCACUCCAUUUGCUCGUGCACUCCCCUUGCACACUCAGGCCUCCUGCAGCUCCCACACUUGCUCCUCGUGCACACCCACUUCCCUUGCUCAUGUGUUUCCUCCAUUCACGUUCUGCCCUUGCACACUCCCCAUUCCCCUGCACACUCUCUCCAUUCCCUAUUCCUCAUUCUCUUGCACACUCCCAUUCCCCUGCACGCCCCCUCCAUUCCCUGUUCCUCAUUCUCUUGCACACUCCCAUUCCCCUGCACACUCUCUCCAUUCCCUAUUCCUCAUUCUCUUGCACACUCCCAUUCCCCUGCACACUCCCUCCAUUCCCUAUUCCUCAUUCUCUUGCACCCUCCCAUUCCCCUGCACACAUUCCUGCUCACGAGGAGCCACGAGGCCAAAUCACCUCGGGGAGAGGUUUAUUCCCUUUGCCCCUGGGAUUCCCAGCCCUCCCCAAACACGGGCUGGGGGUGCAGGCUCGGCCCCCCUGGCCUGGAGCUGUCUUUUGCCCCCACCCUGUGGAAUCCUGGGUUGGGGUCCCUCUGGCAGGACCAAAGCCCCUUUCCCACGCGCUGGCUCCACAGGGUAUUUUCGCUGCCCCCUGCAGUGGGAGCUUUUCUCUCUCUUCCCUUCCCCUGCCCAAGGUUUCCUCCCAGCUUCCUGGCCCGCCUGUUUAUUCCCAAAUCCCAGAUUUCUUUGUUUGCCUGGUGGUAAUUUUCCAUCGAGGCUCCAAAUCUGUGAAUUCCCACAUCGUCCACAUGAAAAAUUAACGUCUCAGUGAAUAAAACCAUCACAUUUGUGGGGUUCACAGGCACAAACCCUCAUUUAUUUUCCCUUAAAGUCC